This 2344-nucleotide unclassified non-coding RNA is filed under the name Pomacea canaliculata. Its description in RNAcentral is "phospholipid phosphatase-related protein type 5-like, transcript variant X1". Lineage: Eukaryota; Metazoa; Mollusca; Gastropoda; Architaenioglossa; Ampullariidae. The record is from RNAcentral.
AGCAGGGACUUUGUAGCAAACGUACGUGAUGAUAAAAUAAUGACGCAAUAUUGUCUUUCUGACCCUGCAUGGCGGCUUGAACUAACUCUUGGGUCCUGCUCUACAGUUGUGUACAGCUCGGAUUUUCUUGCUUAUCUACAGAAGAGUGUCGAUAGAGAGGGUCUUCACUCCAUCCCGCAAGUACAGAUGGUCGGCUCGAGUUAAAUUUCGUGAUACCAUGCUGCCCGGCAAACCAUGCUGCGUCCACACUCUCUGAUGAGUUGUCGAUAUCUCACAGAUGGAGUAAUCAUUAUUCUACAGCAUCUAAGAGAACGUACGACAGCUGCACGCAGUUGCGAUGUUGCCCAGUGGUCAGUGAGGCAAGCUUUCUGUACCCGGGUUCUCCAACAAAGUCAUCGUUGUCUUAAGAUACUCUGUCGAUGCUGAGCCCAAUACAAGUGUCAAUGUCGACAAUAAGCGAGGACCAAAAUUACAACAACGAGCCUAUGGCGUACGAGUUCCCGGAUGGCCAUGCGGGGUCACGACCUUUCAGCAUGUCCGAAGCUUCUGACUUUGGAUCACCAUGGCGUCGAGGACAUCGCCAGGGCAUUCUUAUUUGUGUGACCUUCGCCAUCGAGUUUCUUCUUCUAAUCUUCGUUAUUAUUAUCGAAUACUUCCUCAGGUGGACUGAUGCCUUUCCAUUGCGACGUCAGAACUUCUCGUGCUCAGACCCCGAGAUCUCGUGCUCGUCUCAUGACCAGCAGCUGAUGGCCGACUUCGCGUUUGGCGCCAACGUGCCUGACAGUGUCAUCUACGUGCUGAGUUUUUGUGUACCCGGCUUUGUGGUGUUCAUAGGUGAGCUGGGCUUGUGCACGUUUUCUGAAGGCCAACAGAAGAGCGUGCGUCUGGUGAACAGGGACUGCAAGGUGCCGCAGGUCGGCCGCCGCCUGCUGCGCUUUCUGGGUGUUUUUCUGUUUGGAAUCUUCGCCUUAAUGUUGUUUGUUGACGUCACUAAACUCCUCAUCGGCCGGCUACGGCCGGAUUUUCUACACACGUGUCGCGUAAAUGUCGCCUUGUGUAACACCAGCCUUAGCUCCGGCCUGUCCCUGGAUGACAGCGCCUGCCUCAACACAGACACAACCGAGAUCCGCGCUGCCAGAACUUCUUUCCCAAGUCUCACAUCCGCCCUGACAUCAUACGCAGCCAUCUUUCUAUCGGUGUACGUUCACGGCGCGCUGCGCUGUCACGUUGUGCGCAUCCUGAGGGCCUUCCUCGUCCUGGUCUUCAUCAUGCUGUCCCUCCUGAGUGGGCUGGCGGAGGUGGGGCGUUGCCAUAGCCACUGGACUGACGUGGCCGUGGGCUUCGGUGUGGGCGUCGUCAUGUCUACGUACUUGACUGUGGCAGUUCUCAACCAGUUCCGGGAGCACGUCACACAGACGGAGAUGUUGCACAUGUUGCGGUUGUUCAUGGCAGAUCACUGCAUGCCAUUUUAUGAGGACAAAGCGCACCUGGCACGGCCUUCCGACCCUUUGACGUCCAUGCACAUACCCCGUCCACAUCUACCACCCGGCCACAUACCCGGCCACCUGCGUCGAUCCGAGUCACCAAAAUCACAGCGUCGCCGGAACCAAAGUACUUUCCAGAGAGACCUGUCUCAGAGUGUGGACUACUACCGGCGCCAUCAUCCUUACCUUCAGGGUGCCGCCGCCCACAUGUGACAUCUUGCUAUGUGACAUGUGACAUGUUGGGGCUGGCAGGACAGUCACCACUCACCCGUCGCUGCAGUAUUCACAGGGGAAGCCCGAAGAACGUUUCAAACGGGUGCAUAACAGCGGGAGAGCAAAGUCGCGUGACUCCCGACCUUCGUUGAUGUCCUGGAUCAUGAAAUCACGUGACUCGUCCAACCACGAGACGUUACAAGUUGGGCGGUGUCGACCAUGAGAAGUCACGCAUACGCAUAACAUACAGAAGAUCCUGGUAGCUUUAGAUACCAGGACUAACAGACAUCAAGUAGCAAACUAGGCACACAAAACUUUGCUUCCCACCCCCAGCAGAUGAGAACAGUGACAACCAAGAUCAUUCAUCAAACUGUUGCUAAAAUUGUUGACACCAACCGUACAGAUUCGGGAACGUGGUGAGCUACCUGUCUGGAAAAAGAACAUUUUCAGUUUUAUUUCAUUUGGAUAAUAACGAAUGUACCAUUUAGUGUUUGACAAGGCUUCCAGUGAAGCGGUUGAUGGGAAGGAACCUUCAACUCAACUAAAACUGUUUUCGUAAGUUUGUACAAGAAACACUUUUGAAUUAUUUUGCUGUAUAUUGGAUCAAAUAAAACUGUCUACCCGUUGGCGUUGGACUAGGAACAAUA